UGCCAGCAGCCGCGGUAAUACGUAGGGUGCAAGCGUUAAUCGGAAUUACUGGGCGUAAAGCGUGCGCAGGCGGUUGUGUAAGACAGGUGUGAAAUCCCCGGGCUUAACCUGGGAAUUGCAUUUGUGACUGCACGACUAGAGUGUGUCAGAGGGGGGUGGAAUUCCACGUGUAGCAGUGAAAUGCGUAGAUAUGUGGAGGAACACCAAUGGCGAAGGCAGCCCCCUGGGAUAACACUGACGCUCAUGCACGAAAGCGUGGGGAGCAAACAGGAUUAGAUA
This 279-nucleotide ribosomal RNA is filed under the name uncultured bacterium. Its description in RNAcentral is "partial 16S ribosomal RNA". It matches the Rfam family "Bacterial small subunit ribosomal RNA", at positions 506 to 784 of the family's 1533-position model. The record is from RNAcentral.